CUGGCCCUGAAUCAAGACCAGCAGCUUCCUGAUGCUGUUGGUUUCAAGCAAGAGCCUAAAGAGAUGUCUUUCUAUGGUCUGUUGGCCAUUUCAGAACUUGGACAGUACAAUGGUCAAUUCAUUAGAAAGAAACAGCU
This is a small nucleolar RNA of Cavia aperea (Brazilian guinea pig), 137 nucleotides long. The record is from Ensembl. NCBI's taxonomy places the organism in Eukaryota, Metazoa, Chordata, Mammalia, Rodentia, Caviidae.